GCCGGGCAUGCUGGUGCAUGCCUGUAAUCCCAGCUACUCAGGAGGCUGAGGUGGAAGAAUUGCUUGAACCCAGGAAGCAGAGGUUGCAGUGAGCCGAGAUCGUGCCACUGCACUCCAGCAUGGGCAACAGAGCAAGACUCCGUCUCAA
This 148-nucleotide non-coding RNA is filed under the name Pan paniscus (pygmy chimpanzee). The record is from Rfam by way of RNAcentral. RNAcentral also lists the same sequence under 1 other name. Lineage: Eukaryota; Metazoa; Chordata; Mammalia; Primates; Hominidae.